GUCUACGGCCAUACCACUCUGAAUGCGCCCGAUCUCGUCUGAUCUCGGAAGCUAAGCAGGGUCGGGCCUGGUUAGUACUUGGAUGAGAGAAUGUAUUGAUACCUAUUUUUGAAUAUA
This is a non-coding RNA of Heterocephalus glaber (naked mole-rat), 117 nucleotides long. The record is from Rfam. NCBI's taxonomy places the organism in Eukaryota, Metazoa, Chordata, Mammalia, Rodentia, Bathyergidae.